This 62-nucleotide non-coding RNA is filed under the name Cytobacillus oceanisediminis. Lineage: Bacteria; Bacillati; Bacillota; Bacilli; Caryophanales; Bacillaceae. The record is from RNAcentral.
AAAAAAGGUUAGUCGCAAGAAGUCAGCAGAAGCCAUAGUAGUGAAAUAAGUUCAUGAAGGGC